GGGCUUAACCUGGGAACUGCAUUUGAAACUGGCAGGCUUGAGUCUCGUAGAGGGGGGUAGAAUUCCAGGUGUAGCGGUGAAAUGCGUAGAGAUCUGGAGGAAUACCGGUGGCGAAGGCGGCCCCCUGGACGAAGACUGACGCUCAGGUGCGAAAGCGUGGGGAGCAAACAGGAUUAGAUACCCUGGUAGUCCACGCCGUAAACGAUGUCGACUUGGAGGUUGUUCCCUUGAGGAGUGGCUUCCGGAGCUAACGCGUUAAGUCGACCGCCUGGGGAGUACGGCCGCAAGGUUAAAACUCAAAUGAAUUGACGGGGGCCCGCACAAGCGGUGGAGCAUGUGGUUUAAUUCGAUGCAACGCGAAGAACCUUACCUACUCUUGACAUCCAGCGAACUUUCCAGAGAUGGAUUGGUGCCUUCGGGAACGCUGA
This 428-nucleotide ribosomal RNA is filed under the name Pantoea vagans. Its description in RNAcentral is "bacterial SSU rRNA". It matches the Rfam family "Bacterial small subunit ribosomal RNA", at positions 605 to 1032 of the family's 1533-position model. Lineage: Bacteria; Pseudomonadati; Pseudomonadota; Gammaproteobacteria; Enterobacterales; Erwiniaceae. The record is from RNAcentral.